Molecule: ribosomal RNA, 375 nt
Filed under: uncultured bacterium
Lineage: Bacteria
Description: bacterial SSU rRNA
Rfam family: Bacterial small subunit ribosomal RNA
Source: RNAcentral
AUACGUAGGUGGCGAGCGUUGUCCGGAAUUACUGGGCGUAAAGGGUGCGUAGGCGGGAUCUUAAGUCAGAUGUGAAAUUCCGGAGCUUAACUUCGGAACUGCAUUUGAAACUGGGAUUCUGGAGUGCAGGAGAGGAAAGCGGAAUUCCUAGUGUAGCGGUGAAAUGCGUAGAUAUUAGGAAGAACACCAGUGGCGAAGGCGGCUUUCUGGACUGUAACUGACGCUGAUGCACGAAAGCGUGAGGAGCAAACAGGAUUAGAUACCCUGGUAGUCCACGCUGUAAACGAUGAGUGCUAGGUGUAGGGGGUGUCAUGCCUUCUGUGCCGGAGCAAACGCAAUAAGCACUCCGCCUGGGGAGUACGGUCGCAAGACUAA